Molecule: ribosomal RNA, 253 nt
Filed under: uncultured bacterium
Lineage: Bacteria
Description: partial 16S ribosomal RNA
Rfam family: Bacterial small subunit ribosomal RNA
Source: RNAcentral
UACGUAGGAGGCGAGCGUUGUCCGGAAUCAUUGGGCGUACAGAGCGCGCAGGCGGCUUGGCAAGUCGGGUGUGAAAUCCCGGGGCUCAACCCCGGGACUGCAUUCGAUACGGGCAGACUAGAGUUCGGUAGGGGAGACUGGAAUUCCUGGUGUAGCGGUGAAAUGCGCAGAUAUCAGGAGGAACACCUAUGGCGAAGGCAGCUCGCUGGGACGUUACUGACGCUGAGACGCGAAAGCGUGGGGAGCAAACAGG